RNAcentral lists this ribosomal RNA (746 nucleotides) under uncultured Parvimonas sp. Its description in RNAcentral is "bacterial SSU rRNA". It matches the Rfam family "Bacterial small subunit ribosomal RNA", at positions 28 to 776 of the family's 1533-position model. Lineage: Bacteria; Bacillati; Bacillota; Tissierellia; Tissierellales; Peptoniphilaceae. The record is from RNAcentral.
GACGAACGCUGGCGGCGUGCUUAACACAUGCAAGUCGAACGCGAUUUUUGUGGAAAGCCCUUCGGGGACGGAAAUGAAAUGAAAGUGGCGAACGGGUGAGUAACACGUGAGCAACCUACCUUACACAGGGGGAUAGCCGUUGGAAACGACGAUUAAUACCGCAUGAGACCACAAAGCCACAUGGCUUAGGGGUAAAAGAUUUAUCGGUGUAAGAUGGGCUCGCGUCUGAUUAGCUAGUUGGAAGGGUAAAGGCCUACCAAGGCAACGAUCAGUAGCCGGUCUGAGAGGAUGAACGGCCACAUUGGAACUGAGACACGGUCCAAACUCCUACGGGAGGCAGCAGUGGGGAAUAUUGCACAAUGGGGGGAACCCUGAUGCAGCGACGCCGCGUGAGCGAAGAAGGUUUUCGAAUCGUAAAGCUCUGUCCUAUGAGAAGAUAAUGACGGUAUCAUAGGAGGAAGCCCCGGCUAAAUACGUGCCAGCAGCCGCGGUAAUACGUAUGGGGCGAGCGUUGUCCGGAAUUAUUGGGCGUAAAGGGUACGUAGGCGGCCUUUUAAGUCAGGUGUGAAAGCGUGAGGCUUAACCUCAUUAAGCACUUGAAACUGGAAGGCUUGAGUGAAGGAGAGGAAAGUGGAAUUCCUAGUGUAGCGGUGAAAUGCGUAGAUAUUAGGAGGAAUACCGGUGGCGAAGGCGACUUUCUGGACUUUUACUGACGCUCAGGUACGAAAGCGUGGGGAGCAAACAGG